GACGUAGGGCGCAAGCGUUGUCCGGAUUUAUUGGGCGUAAAGAGCUCGUAGGCGGCCUGUCGCGUCGACCGUGAAAACCCGCAGCUCAACUGCGGGCUUGCGGUCGAUACGGGCAGGCUGGAGUUCGGUAGGGGAGACUGGAAUUCCUGGUGUAGCGGUGAAAUGCGCAGAUAUCAGGAGGAACACCUAUAGCGAAGGCAGCUCGCUGGGACGACACUGACGCUGAGACGCGAAAGCGUGGGGAGCGAACAGG
RNAcentral lists this ribosomal RNA (253 nucleotides) under uncultured bacterium. RNAcentral describes it as "partial 16S ribosomal RNA". It matches the Rfam family "Bacterial small subunit ribosomal RNA", at positions 524 to 776 of the family's 1533-position model. The record is from RNAcentral.